UUAUUGUUUGCCGGUAUGAAUGGCGUCACGAAGGCCCCACUGUUUUAAGAGGACUCUCCAUGAAAUUGAAUUCGUAGUGAAGAUGCUACGUCCAUAUUGUAAGACGAAAAGACCCCAUUGAGCUUUACUAAAGACUUGCAUGGCUCAAAAUAAUUUGACUUAAAUAAAGAGUUUAGAUAAUGUGGGACCCGUUUCUGGUUAAUGAAACACCACUCUUUUAUUUUAAGAGAGCUAACAUUACAGGGAUAGUGUAAGUUGGAUAGUUUGGUUGGGGCGACCACCUUUUAAAAGGUAACGAAGGUGAGCUUAAGGUCCGUAGUUAAUAGCCGGUGGCCUGACUGCAAGGGGGACGUCUCGAGCAGACACGUCCUUAGGGAUGUGGACUAUAGUGACCCGUCACCUUAGUGUGGAAUAGUUGACGAUC
RNAcentral lists this ribosomal RNA (424 nucleotides) under Radianthus malu. Its description in RNAcentral is "partial 16S large subunit ribosomal RNA". It matches the Rfam family "Bacterial large subunit ribosomal RNA", at positions 1977 to 2450 of the family's 2925-position model. Lineage: Eukaryota; Metazoa; Cnidaria; Anthozoa; Actiniaria; Stichodactylidae. The record is from RNAcentral.